UACGUAGGUGGCAAGCGUUGUCCGGAUUUACUGGGCGUAAAGGGAGCGUAGGCGGACACUUAAGUGGGAUGUGAAAUCCCCGGGCUUAACCCGGGAGCUGCAUUCCAAACUGGGUGUCUAGAGUGCAGGAGAGGAAAGUGGAAUUCCUAGUGUAGCGGUGAAAUGCGUAGAGAUUAGGAAGAACACCAGUGGCGAAGGCGACUUUCUGGACUGUAACUGACGCUGAGGCUCGAAAGCGUGGGGAG
Molecule: ribosomal RNA, 245 nt
Filed under: uncultured bacterium
Lineage: Bacteria
Description: partial 16S ribosomal RNA
Rfam family: Bacterial small subunit ribosomal RNA
Source: RNAcentral